This 631-nucleotide ribosomal RNA is filed under the name uncultured Fusobacteriota bacterium. Its description in RNAcentral is "bacterial SSU rRNA". It matches the Rfam family "Bacterial small subunit ribosomal RNA", at positions 84 to 730 of the family's 1533-position model. Lineage: Bacteria; Fusobacteriati; Fusobacteriota. The record is from RNAcentral.
CUUAAGUUUGGGUGGCGGACGGGUGAGUAACGCGUAAAGAACUUGCCUCACAGCUAGGGACAACAUUUGGAAACGAAUGCUAAUACCUAAUAUUAUGAUAAUAGGGCAUCCUAUAAUUAUGAAAGCUAUAAGCGCUGUGAGAGAGCUUUGCGUCCCAUUAGCUAGUUGGAGAGGUAACGGCUCACCAAGGCGAUGAUGGGUAGCCGGCCUGAGAGGGUGAUCGGCCACAAGGGGACUGAGACACGGCCCUUACUCCUACGGGAGGCAGCAGUGGGGAAUAUUGGACAAUGGACCAAGAGUCUGAUCCAGCAAUUCUGUGUGCACGAUGAAGUUUUUCGGAAUGUAAAGUGCUUUCAGUUGGGAAGAAAGAAAUGACGGUACCAACAGAAGAAGUGACGGCUAAAUACGUGCCAGCAGCCGCGGUAAUACGUAUGUCACGAGCGUUAUCCGGAUUUAUUGGGCGUAAAGCGCGUCUAGGUGGUUAUGUAAGUCUGAUGUGAAAAUGCAGGGCUCAACUCUGUAUUGCGUUGGAAACUGUAUAACUAGAGUACUGGAGAGGUAAGCGGAACUACAAGUGUAGAGGUGAAUUCGUAGAUAUUUGUAGGAAUGCCGAUGGGGAAGCCAGCUUACU